CCAUUACUCCCUCCGUUCGGAAUUACUUGUCGCAAAAAUGGAUGUAUCUAGACUUACUUUAGUUCUAGAUACAUCUACUUUGAAGACAAGUAAUUCCGAACGGAGGGAGUACCUC
This is a non-coding RNA of Triticum aestivum (bread wheat), 115 nucleotides long. The record is from Rfam. Lineage: Eukaryota; Viridiplantae; Streptophyta; Magnoliopsida; Poales; Poaceae.